AGAGCAGGUCGGGCGGUUGCUGCCGUGCUUGAAAGAGCGCGGGAGAGGAAAGUCCGAACACUAUAGGGCAGCGAGCCCGCUAACGGCGGGGCGCUCGGAAGUUCAGGGGCCGUUUCGACAGCGCCGGUGUUUCCGGGUGACGACAAGUGCAACAGAAAAAAGACCAGCCUCUUUGCGAGACCUGCGGGCGCUUAAAGCGUCUCCUCGCGUUGCGGUGAUGGGUGAAAUGGUGCGGGGGCGCUUGCCGCAGGCAAGAGCGUCCCAAAGGUAAGAGCGCACCGGCGCGUGUGGUGACAUGCGCGGCCAGGCAAACUCCUCGCAGUGCAAGACCAAAUAGGGAGGCCGUCAGCCAGGGCUGCCCGUCCAAAGUCGCGCCGGUCUUCGGAUCGCGUGCGCUACGCCUCCGGGUAGGUCGCUUGAGCCGUUUGGCAACGAACGGCCUAGAUGAAUGAUCGCCGCCCCGCGCACACUCCGGUGGGCCGGGGCACAGAAUUCGGCUUACAGACCUGCUCUCGAC
RNAcentral lists this RNase P RNA (517 nucleotides) under Acidobacteriota bacterium. RNAcentral describes it as "Acidobacteria bacterium (soil metagenome) RNase P RNA component class A". It matches the Rfam family "Bacterial RNase P class A". From Rfam's summary of the family: Ribonuclease P (RNase P) is a ubiquitous endoribonuclease, found in archaea, bacteria and eukarya as well as chloroplasts and mitochondria. Its best characterised activity is the generation of mature 5'-ends of tRNAs by cleaving the 5'-leader elements of precursor-tRNAs. Cellular RNase Ps are ribonucleoproteins. The record is from RNAcentral. Lineage: Bacteria; Pseudomonadati; Acidobacteriota.